CUUAGAGGUAAACGAGUGGAGCCGAAGGAGUUGUAUAGAAUUCAGUCGAUUAUGUUUUGUACGUAUAUUAACAGCAUUUUUAUGGGAGUUGUUGGUAUACACUUUACAGAAUGUGAUUGAUGCAUUUUCUAUAUAACUAAACUGCGACCAAUAGUGUUGAUUUUCUGUCGUAAUUGUGAAGGUGAUCAAUUUUUCGGAAUUGGUUUUAUAGCUAAUUACAUGGUUAAUCAAUGUAUUGUUAAUUGCGGUUGGCUAAUUUUAAUAGUUAUUGAUUUGGAUUGCUUAUUAUUAGACUAUAAAUAGACUAGUUUUAAGUCGUUUAAGUCUUUGAUUGUUGAAGGGUCAACCUAAAGUCUGCAGUCAUUAUGUAGGUUACCUACUUGUCCCGUCUUGAAACACGGACCAAGGAGUUUUAUAUGAUCGCGAGUCAAAGGGCUUUACGAAACCCCAGGGCGUAAUUAAUGUAAUGAUUCACUUUAGUGAAUUGCAAUGUGACCUCGCCGUAAAAAGCUUGUGCAACAUUGACCCGUCUAAAGAUGUUCGCAUCUGGACGGAGUUUGAGCGAUCAUGUAGAGACCCGAAAGAUGGUGAACUAUGCUUGUGCAGGUUGAAGUCAGAGGAAACCCUGAUGGAAGACCGCCGCGGUUCUGACGUGCAAAUCGAUCGUCGGACAUGAGUAUAGGGGCGAAAGACUAAUCGAACCAUCUAGUAGCUGGUUCCCUCCGAAGUUUCCCUCAGGAUAGCUGGCAUUUGUUGUCGUAGUUUUACCUGGUAAAGCGAAUGAUUAGAAGUAUUGGGGACGAAAUGUCCUCAACUUAUUCUCAAACUUUAAAUGGGUUCGAAGUGCAUCUCUCUUUAUUGGAGAUGUACAUUGAAUACGAAUGCCUAGUGGGCCAUUUUUGGUAAGCAGAACUGGCGAUGUGGGAUGAACCAAACAUUUGGUUAAGGUGCCUAACAUCACGCUCAUGAGAACCCACAAAAGGUGUUGGUUGAUAAAGACAGCAGGACGGUGGACAUGGAAGUUGUCAUCCGCUAAGGAGUGUGUAACAACUCACCUGCCGAAUCAACCAGCCCUGAAA
Molecule: ribosomal RNA, 1079 nt
Filed under: Diversibipalium multilineatum
Lineage: Eukaryota; Metazoa; Platyhelminthes; Tricladida; Geoplanidae
Description: partial large subunit ribosomal RNA
Rfam family: Eukaryotic large subunit ribosomal RNA
Source: RNAcentral